GAUGAAGAACGCAGCGAAAUGCGAUAAGUAAUGUGAAUUGCAGAAUUCAGUGAAUCAUCGAAUCUUUGAACGCAUCUUGCGCUCCUUGGUAUUCUGAGGAGCAUGCCUGUUUGAGUGUCAUUAAAUUCUCAACUACACUGACUUUGAAUUGGUGUGGCUUGGAUUUGGGGGGAAAAUUGUUGUGGGCUUUUUGUAUAGUCUGCUCCCCUGAAAUUGAUUAGCGGUACCUUUGUGGAACUGUCUACAGGUGUGAUAAUUAUCUACAUCUUAGACAUCUGCUGGAAUGCUGCUCUCUAAACCUUACUUGUAUUGACAAUCUUGACCUCAAAUCAGGUAGGACUACCCGCUGAACUUAAGCAUAUCAAUAAGCGGAGA
RNAcentral lists this unclassified non-coding RNA (375 nucleotides) under soil metagenome. RNAcentral describes it as "partial contains 5.8S ribosomal RNA, internal transcribed spacer 2, and large subunit ribosomal RNA". The stretch from base 1 to 120 matches the Rfam family "5.8S ribosomal RNA", at positions 35 to 154 of the family's 154-position model. The record is from RNAcentral.